RNAcentral lists this ribosomal RNA (492 nucleotides) under uncultured bacterium. RNAcentral describes it as "partial 16S ribosomal RNA". It matches the Rfam family "Bacterial small subunit ribosomal RNA", at positions 29 to 507 of the family's 1533-position model. The record is from RNAcentral.
AGUGAACGCUGGCGGUAGGCCUAACACAUGCAAGUCGAACGGCAGCACAGUAAGAGCUUGCUCUUACGGGUGGCGAGUGGCGGACGGGUGAGGAAUACAUCGGAAUCUACUUUUUCGUGGGGGAUAACGUAGGGAAACUUACGCUAAUACCGCAUACGACCUACGGGUGAAAGCAGGGGAUCUUCGGACCUUGCGCGAUUGAAUGAGCCGAUGUCGGAUUAGCUAGUUGGCGGGGUAAAGGCCCACCAAGGCGACGAUCCGUAGCUGGUCUGAGAGGAUGGUAAGCCACACUGGAACUGAGACACGGUCCAGACUCCUACGGGAGGCAGCAGUGGGGAAUAUUGGACAAUGGGCGCAAGCCUGAUCCAGCCAUACCGCGUGGGUGAAGAAGGCCUUCGGGUUGUAAAGCCCUUUUGUUGGGAAAGAAACGCAGCAGGUUAAUACCCCGCUGUUCUGACGGUACCCAAAGAAUAAGCACCGGCUAACUUCGUG